UAUUGACUGCCCUAGCAGACAAGCCAAGACAAUAGAUUUAUUAAGGAGACUUAAUUAUG
RNAcentral lists this non-coding RNA (59 nucleotides) under unclassified sequences. The record is from RNAcentral.